CCUACGGGAGGCAGCAGUGAGGAAUAUUGGUCAAUGGACGCAAGUCUGAACCAGCCAUGCCGCGUGCAGGAAGACUGCCCUAUGGGUUGUAAACCUCUUUUGUCAGGGAGCAACGCCGGCUACGUGUAGCCGGACUGAGAGUACCUGAAGAAAAAGCAUCGGCCAACUCCGUGCCAGCAGCCGCGGUAAUACGGAGGAUCCGAGCGUUAUCCGGAUUUAUUGGGUUUAAAGGGAGCGUAGGUGGAUUGUUAAGUCAGUUGUGAAAGUUUGCGGCUCAACCGUAAAAUUGCAGUUGAAACUGGCAGGCUUGAGUACAGUAGAGGUGGGCGGAAUUCGUGGUGUAGCGGUGAAAUGCUUAGAUAUCACGAAGAACUCCGAUUGCGAAGGCAGUUCACUGGACUGCAACUGACACUGAGGCUCGAAAGUGUGGGUAUCAAACAGGAUUAGAUACCCUAGUAGUC
This 461-nucleotide ribosomal RNA is filed under the name uncultured bacterium. RNAcentral describes it as "partial 16S ribosomal RNA". It matches the Rfam family "Bacterial small subunit ribosomal RNA", at positions 338 to 795 of the family's 1533-position model. The record is from RNAcentral.